This 429-nucleotide ribosomal RNA is filed under the name Actinomycetes bacterium. Its description in RNAcentral is "Actinobacteria bacterium partial 16S ribosomal RNA". It matches the Rfam family "Bacterial small subunit ribosomal RNA", at positions 355 to 776 of the family's 1533-position model. Lineage: Bacteria; Bacillati; Actinomycetota; Actinomycetes. The record is from RNAcentral.
UAGGGAAUCUUCCGCAAUGGGCGAAAGCCUGACGGAGCAACGCCGCGUGAGUGAUGAAGGUCUUCGGAUCGUAAAACUCUGUUAUUAGGGAAGAACAAAUGUGUAAGUAACUAUGCACGUCUUGACGGUACCUAAUCAGAAAGCCACGGCUAACUACGUGCCAGCAGCCGCGGUAAUACGUAGGUGGCAAGCGUUAUCCGGAAUUAUUGGGCGUAAAGCGCGCGUAGGCGGUUUUUUAAGUCUGAUGUGAAAGCCCACGGCUCAACCGUGGAGGGUCAUUGGAAACUGGAAAACUUGAGUGCAGAAGAGGAAAGUCGAAUUCCAUGUGUAGCGGUGAAAUGCGCAGAGAUAUGGAGGAACACCAGUGGCGAAGGCGACUUUCUGGUCUGUAACUGACGCUGAUGUGCGAAAGCGUGGGGAUCAAACAGG